Molecule: non-coding RNA, 3082 nt
Organism: Jatropha curcas
Lineage: Eukaryota; Viridiplantae; Streptophyta; Magnoliopsida; Malpighiales; Euphorbiaceae
Source: RefSeq, a predicted model, not a curated record
AAAACUAAACUAACACACCCCGUGCCAUGUUUGAACUGAAAUUAAGAUAACAAAUAAACACUACAAAAUUAGACACGCUUGCUGAUCUCUCCCUCCUUCCCCUUUUUCUUUCUCUGUCUCUCCCAAUCUUUCGAUCUCUCACCCCUGAGCGAGCUAAGCGAGUGAAAGGAAACGAGAAAUGGCGAAAUCAAGUGCCGACGAUGAGGAGCUCAGGAGGGCCUGCGAGGCAGCAAUCGAAGGCACCAAGCAGAAGAUCGUGAUGUCGAUCCGUGUUGCCAAGAGCCGAGGGAUCUGGGGAAAAUCCGGCAAAUUGGGUCGCCAAAUGGCCAAGCCUAGGGUUCUUGCUAUCUCUACAAAAGCCAAGGCUACACGAACUAAAGCAUUUCUCCGAGUCUUAAAGUAUUCCACUGGAGGAGUCCUUGAGCCUGCAAAGUUAUACAAGCUGAAGCAUCUUUCUAAGGUGGAGGUUGUAGCUAAUGAUCCUAGUGGCUGUACAUUUACCCUGGGUUUUGAUAACCUUCGAAGCCAGACCGUCACUCCGCCUCAGUGGACUAUGCGCAACGUUGAUGAUAGGAACCGCCUUAUAUUUUGCAUCUUAAACAUCUGCAAAGAUGUACUUGGCCGUCUUCCCAAAUUAGUUGGACUAGAUGUUGUGGAGAUGGCACUUUGGGCUAAGGAUCAUACACCUGCAGUUUCUAAGCAAAGAAAUCUACAAGAUGGGCCUGUUGCAGCUGCAGUGGCAGAAGGUGAUUUGAAAGUGAGCGUUGAAAGGGAACUUGUUUCCCAAGCUGAGGAAGAGGACAUGGAGGCCCUUCUUGAUACUUAUGUCAUGGGUAUUGGGGAAGCAGAGGCAUUUUCUGAAAGGUUGAAGCGUGAACUUCUUGCUCUUGAAGCUGCAAAUGUGCAUGCUAUCUUAGAAAGUGAACCUCUGAUAGAAGAGGUGCUGCAAGGGCUUGAGGCUGCAACAAUAUGUGUCGAUGAUAUGGAUGAAUGGUUAGGCAUCUUCAAUGUGAAACUCAGACACAUGAGAGAAGAUAUUGAGUCGAUAGAAACCAGAAAUAAUAAGUUGGAGAUGCAGUCUGUUAAUAACAAAGCACUCAUUGAAGAGCUUGAUAAGCUUGUUGAACGUUUGCAUAUUCCUUCUGAAUAUGCAGCAUGCCUAACAGGAGGUUCAUUUGAUGAAGCACGCAUGCUUCAGAAUAUUGAAGCAUGUGAAUGGUUAACUGGCGCUUUAAAUGGUCUUCAAGUACCUAAUCUGGAUCCAACAUAUGCAAACAUGCAUGCUGUCAAAGAGAAGCGAGCAGAACUUCAAAUAUUAAAAGCUACAUUUGUUAGGAGAGCUUCUGAGUUCUUAAGAAACUACUUUGCUAGUUUGGUGGAUUUCAUGAUAAGUGACAAGAGUUACUUUUCACAGCGGGGACAGUUGAAGAGGCCUGAUCAUGCAGAUUUACGGUACAAAUGCAGAACGUAUGCUCGCCUUCUCCAACAUUUAAAGAGUCUUGACAAGAACUGCUUGGGGCCUUUAAGGAAAGCAUAUUGUAGCUCCCUUAACUUGCUUCUUCGUCGAGAGGCUCGUGAGUUUGCUAAUGAGCUUCGUGCUAGUACAAAAGCAUCAAGAAAUCCAACUGUCUGGCUUGAAGCUUCCUCAGGUUCCAAUCAAAAUGCAAAUACUGCAGAUACAUCAUCAGUUUCUGAUGCUUAUGCCAAAAUGUUGACAAUUUUUAUCCCACUCCUAGUGGAUGAGAGUUCUUUUUUUGCACACUUCAUGUGCUUUGAAGUUCCUGCCCUUGUUCCUCCUGGAGGUCUUGCUAAUGGUAAUAAAGGAGGAAGUUAUAAUGGUGAGGAGGAGGAGGAGGACGACGACGAUGAUGAUUUGGGUAUAAUGGACAUUGACGAGAAUGACAACAAAUCUGGCAAUUCAAGUAAAAAUGCAGCAGAUCUGGCAGCACUAAAUGAGUCUCUUCAGGAUUUGCUUGAUGGAAUCCAAGAAGAUUUUUAUGCUGUUGUUGAUUGGGCAUAUAAGAUCGAUCCUCUUCGGUGCAUAUCAAUGCAUGGGAUUACAGAGAAGUAUCUUUCUGGUCAAAAAGCUGAUGCUGCAGGAUUUGUGCGUCUCUUACUUGGUGACCUGGAGUCAAGAAUCUCUAUGCAGUUCAGCCGUUUUGUUGAUGAAGCUUGCCAUCAGAUUGAAAGAAAUGAGCGUAAUGUGCGACAGAUGGGGGUUUUAUCUUAUAUACCAAGGUUUGCUACUCUUGCAACUCGUAUGGAACAGUACAUUCAGGGACAAUCUAGGGAUUUGGUUGAUCAGGCUUAUACAAAAUUUGUUAGCAUAAUGUUUGUAACAUUGGAGAAAAUUGCACAAACAGAUCCAAAAUAUGCCGAUAUUUUUCUUUUGGAGAACUAUGCAGCUUUUCAAAACAGUUGCUUGCAGCUUGUAUGACCUAGCCAAUGUUGUUCCCACUUUAGCCAAAUUUUAUCAUCAGGCGAGUGAAGCCUAUGAGCAAGCUUGUGUUCGUCAUAUCAGCAUGAUCAUUUAUUAUCAAUUUGAACGGCUUUUCCAGUUUGCCCGCAGAAUCGAGGAUUUGAUGUACACAAUUACACCAGAAGAGAUUCCUUUCCAGCUUGGAUUGUCAAAAAUGGAUCUACGGAAGAUGUUGAAGGCUAGUUUAUCUGGGGUUGACAAGUCUAUCAGUGCAAUGUAUAAGAAGUUGCAAAAGAACUUAACUUCGGAGGAAUUGCUACCUUCUUUAUGGGAUAAAUGCAAGAAGGAGUUUUUGGACAAGUAUGACAGUUUUGUCCAACUUGUUGCAAAGAUCUAUCCCAACGAAACAAUACCCUCUGCAACUGAAAUGAGAGAUCUUCUGGCGACCAUGUAAAACUUUGUAAAGAGAGUUAUGUUGUAUAAUUCCUAGACGUUUUCUUCAUUGUAGAGCAUCAUCACCCUCAUGUAAUUAUUCUUUUUUGUUUGGUCAAAAAAUUUUCCCUAUUAUUGAUUCAUUGGACUGACUGACUAUCAGUGGUUGAAUUGCAUUGUGUGGAACUUGCUAAUCAUAAUAAUAAUCUACGAGUCAAAUUUUGUUUAUCA